AAAACUUUCAACAACGGAUCUCUUGGUUCCGGCAUCGAUGAAGAACGCAGCGAAAUGCGAUAAGUAAUGUGAAUCGCAGAAUUCAGUGAAUCAUCGAAUCUUUGAACGCACAUUGCGCCCCUUGGUAUUCCGAGGGGCAUACCUGUUCGAGCGUCAUUGCACCCCUCACGCCCCCCCCCCUUCUGGGGCGUGGUCUUG
This 198-nucleotide ribosomal RNA is filed under the name Sticta sp. RNAcentral's name for it is "5.8S ribosomal RNA". The stretch from base 3 to 156 matches the Rfam family "5.8S ribosomal RNA". From Rfam's summary of the family: 5.8S ribosomal RNA (5.8S rRNA) is a component of the large subunit of the eukaryotic ribosome. It is transcribed by RNA polymerase I as part of the 45S precursor that also contains 18S and 28S rRNA. The record is from RNAcentral. Lineage: Eukaryota; Fungi; Ascomycota; Lecanoromycetes; Peltigerales; Lobariaceae.